CAUUCACGGAGAGUUUGAUCCUGGCUCAGGACGAACGCUGGCGGCGUGCUUAACACAUGCAAGUCGAACGAUGAAGCCCUUCGGGGUGGAUUAGUGGCGAACGGGUGAGUAACACGUGGGCAAUCUGCCCUUCACUCUGGGACAAGCCCUGGAAACGGGGUCUAAUACCGGAUAACACUCUGUCCCGCAUGGGACGGGGUUAAAAGCUCCGGCGGUGAAGGAUGAGCCCGCGGCCUAUCAGCUUGUUGGUGGGGUAAUGGCCUACCAAGGCGACGACGGGUAGCCGGCCUGAGAGGGCGACCGGCCACACUGGGACUGAGACACGGCCCAGACUCCUACGGGAGGCAGCAGUGGGGAAUAUUGCACAAUGGGCGAAAGCCUGAUGCAGCGACGCCGCGUGAGGGAUGACGGCCUUCGGGUUGUAAACCUCUUUCAGCAGGGAAGAAGCGAAAGUGACGGUACCUGCAGAAGAAGCGCCGGCUAACUACGUGCCAGCAGCCGCGGUAAUACGUAGGGCGCAAGCGUUGUCCGGAAUUAUUGGGCGUAAAGAGCUCGUAGGCGGCUUGUCACGUCGGAUGUGAAAGCCCGGGGCUUAACCCCGGGUCUGCAUUCGAUACGGGCUAGCUAGAGUGUGGUAGGGGAGAUCGGAAUUCCUGGUGUAGCGGUGAAAUGCGCAGAUAUCAGGAGGAACACCGGUGGCGAAGGCGGAUCUCUGGGCCAUUACUGACGCUGAGGAGCGAAAGCGUGGGGAGCGAACAGGAUUAGAUACC
This 770-nucleotide ribosomal RNA is filed under the name Streptomyces anulatus. Its description in RNAcentral is "bacterial SSU rRNA". It matches the Rfam family "Bacterial small subunit ribosomal RNA", at positions 1 to 786 of the family's 1533-position model. Lineage: Bacteria; Bacillati; Actinomycetota; Actinomycetes; Kitasatosporales; Streptomycetaceae. The record is from RNAcentral.